GGAAUGCCAACAAUCUUUAUUGUAGAUAAGAGAGAGACCACUCAGAGGCUCCUGGAGGAGUCAGAAAGAAAAGGAAACAGGCUGGCCAUGGCCAGGGCUAUCAGUAAGAGAGUGGACCCACUUAAGUGCAGCGGAGAAAAUGAAGCGACCUUCCUCCCCUGAGGCACUCCUGGAGUGACUGGACUCUGAAGACAAGAGCCUCUCAGAGUGGCAGAAGUAAGCUCUUUCCAUCUUCCGUCCUGUCAAUUAAAUUCAGCUACCUUAAUGCUAAAGCAA
This is a non-coding RNA of Rattus norvegicus (Norway rat), 276 nucleotides long. The record is from RefSeq and is a predicted model, not a curated record. NCBI's taxonomy places the organism in Eukaryota, Metazoa, Chordata, Mammalia, Rodentia, Muridae.